UGAGGAAUAUUGGUCAAUGGGCGGAAGCCUGAACCAGCCAUCCCGCGUGCAGGAAGACAGCCCUAUGGGUUGUAAACUGCUUUUCCAGUGGGCGAAACACUCGUACGUGUACGGGAUUGACGGUACACUGGGAAUAAGCAUCGGCUAACUCCGUGCCAGCAGCCGCGGUAAUACGGAGGAUGCGAGCGUUAUCCGGAUUCAUUGGGUUUAAAGGGUGCGUAGGCGGAUGAAUAAGUCAGUGGUGAAAGGCUGCAGCUUAACUGUAGACUUGCCGUUGAUACUGUUUAUCUUGAGUAUGGUCAAGGCAGGCGGAAUGUGUAAUGUAGCGGUGAAAUGCUUAGAUAUUACACAGAACACCGAUUGCGAAGGCAGCUUGCUGGGCCAUUACUGACGCUGAUGCACGAAAGCGUGGGGAGCGAACAG
RNAcentral lists this ribosomal RNA (423 nucleotides) under uncultured bacterium. RNAcentral describes it as "bacterial SSU rRNA". It matches the Rfam family "Bacterial small subunit ribosomal RNA", at positions 355 to 775 of the family's 1533-position model. The record is from RNAcentral.